GACGUAGGGUCCAAGCGUUGUCCGGAUUUACUGGGCGUAAAGAGCGCGUAGGCGGUCUGUUAAGUGGGAAGUGAAAUCUCCAGGGCUCAACCCGGAAACUGCUUUUCAUACUGGCAGACUUGAGGGAUGCAGAGGUGAAUGGAAUUCCUGGUGUAGCGGUGAAAUGCGUUGAUAUCAGGAGGAACACCCAUGGCGAAGGCAGUUCACUGGGCAUCAUCUGACGCUGAGGCGCGAAAGCGUGGGUAGCAAACAGG
This 254-nucleotide ribosomal RNA is filed under the name uncultured bacterium. RNAcentral describes it as "partial 16S ribosomal RNA". It matches the Rfam family "Bacterial small subunit ribosomal RNA", at positions 524 to 776 of the family's 1533-position model. The record is from RNAcentral.